CAUUGGGGGUGUUGGGGUAUGGGUGGGUAUUUGGGGACAUUGGGCACUGGGGUCACUGGGGGCACUGGGGGGCACUGGGGGGGACAGGGGGACACUGGGAUAUGGGAACAUGCAUGGGGACAUGGGGGGGGGAUUGGGGGUAAUGGGGGGACACGGGGUCACCGGGGGCCAUGGGGACAGGGGACACUGGGGACAUUGGGGACACUGGGGACAUUGUGGACAGGCCCCCCCGGUGCCCCCCCCAGGAGUUCCACCCCUCGGGGGGGUCCCGCGCCUCCUUCCUGGCCUUCGCCGCCCGCCUGGACCGGGCCCUGCAGCCCCGCUACCAGCGCCUGCACGAGCACCUGCAGGUGGGUUAGGGGGCGCUAUGGGGCAGCUAUGGGGCAGCUAUGGGGUGACACGGGGCAGCUAUGGGGCAGCUAUGGGGCAGCUAUGGGGUGCUAUGGGGUGCUAUGGGGCAGCUAUGGGGCGCUAUGGGGCUCUACCAAUCCUCCCCGUCCUCCAGGCUCUCUACGGCCCCAUCGACCCCGACCGUGACACCGUGGCCAACCUGGGGGAGCUGCGGGACCUCGGCGGGGACCCCGGGCCUGCUGUGGGGCAGAGACCCCCUCUGGGGCAGGGGGCGUCUAUGGGGCAGGGGGUCACUACAGGUCAAGGGGUAACUACGGGACAAGGAGCCGCUAUGGGGCAGAGGCCCGCUAUGGGGCAGGGGGCCGCCAUGGGGCGGCGUGAGCAGCGCGUGGUGGCCGCGCUGGCCCCGCUGCUGGCCGAGGCCAACUUCCAGCGGCUCCCCGACGCCGCCGUCGCCUUCGCCCUCCUGGUGCAGCACCCCCUGGACGAGGUGCAGGUAACAUGCGGGGACCCCCCCCAAUUUGGGNNNNNNNNNNNNNNNNNNNNNNNNNNNNNNNNNNNNNNNNNNNNNNNNNNNNNNNNNNNNNNNNNNNNNNNNNNNNNNNNNNNNNNNNNNNNNNNNNNNNGUGGCCUCGCUGGUGGCCGAGGUGGCCCGGGCCAAGCGGCGCCCGCGGCUCCCCGAGCCCCCCGGCUGGGAGCAGGGGUUUCGGGACAGCUUCGUGCCCCUCUCCAAGGAGCAGCUGCGGGGGCUGCUGCUGGCCGUAAGGGGGCACUGGGAGCACUGGGGGGCACUGGGGGGCACUGGGGCAUUGGGAGUGUUGGGAUAUGGGUGGGUAUUUGGGGACAUUGGGGCACUGGGGUCACUGGGGGCACUGGGGGGCACUGGGGGGGACACUGGGGGGCACUGGGAUAUGGGGACAUGGAUGGGGACACGGGGGGGGUAUUGGGGUUAAUGGGGGACAUGGGGUCACCUGGGGCCAUGGGGACAGGGGACACUGGGGACAGGGGGACACUGGGGACACUGGGGACAUUGUGGACAGGCCCCCCCGGUGCCCCCCCCCCAGGAGUUCCACCCCUCGGGGGGGUCCCGCGCCUCCUUCCUGGCCUUCGCCGCCCGCCUGGACCGGGCCCUGCAGCCCCGCUACCAGCGCCUGCACGAGCACCUGCAGGCUCUCUACGGCCCCAUCGACCCCGACCGUGACACCGUGGCCAACCUGGGGGAGCUGCGGGACCUCGGCGGGGACCCCGGGCCUGCUGUGGGGCAGAGACCCCCUAUGGGGCAGGGACCUGCUAUGGGGCAGGGGGUCACUACAGGUCAAGGGGUAACUACGGGACAAGGAGCCUCUAUGGGGCAGAGGCCCGCUAUGGGGCAGAGACCCGCUAUGGGGCAGGGGGCCGCCGUGGGGCGGCGCGAGCAGCGCGUGGUGGCCGCGCUGGCCCCGCUGCUGGCCGAGGCCAACUUCCAGCGGCUCCCCGACGCCGCCGUCGCCUUCGCCCUCCUGGUGCAGCACCCCCUGGACGAGGUGCAGGUAACAUGCGGGGACCCCCCCCAAUUUGGGGACCCCCCCCCAAUUUGGGGACCCCCCCACCCCAACACACACACACACACUUGGGAUCCCCCAGCCCGCACCCCAGGCCCAAAUCUGGGGGAU
Molecule: long non-coding RNA, 2003 nt
Filed under: Anas platyrhynchos platyrhynchos (common mallard)
Lineage: Eukaryota; Metazoa; Chordata; Aves; Anseriformes; Anatidae
Description: lncRNA (ENSAPLG00000020474.1)
Source: RNAcentral